RNAcentral lists this ribosomal RNA (495 nucleotides) under uncultured bacterium. RNAcentral's name for it is "partial 16S ribosomal RNA". It matches the Rfam family "Bacterial small subunit ribosomal RNA", at positions 28 to 507 of the family's 1533-position model. The record is from RNAcentral.
GACGAACGCUGGCGGCGUGCCUAAUACAUGCAAGUAGAACGCUGAAGGAGGAGCUUGCUUCUCUGGAUGAGUUGCGAACGGGUGAGUAACGCGUAGGUAACCUGCCUGGUAGCGGGGGAUAACUAUUGGAAACGAUAGCUAAUACCGCAUAAUAGUAGAUGUUGCAUGACAUUUGCUUAAAAGUUGCAAUUGCAUCACUACCAGAUGGACCUGCGUUGUAUUAGCUAGUUGGUGGGGUAACGGCUCACCAAGGCGACGCUACAUAGCCGACCUGAGAGGGUGGUCGGCCACACUGGGACUGGGACAAGGCCCAGACCUCUUCGGGAGGCAGCAGUAGGGAAACUUCGGCAAUGGACGGAAGUCUGACCGAGCAAAGACGCGUGAGGGAAGAAGGGUUUCGGAUCGUAAAGCUCUGUUGUUAGAGAAGAACGAGUGUGAGAGUGGAAAGUUCACACUGUGACGGUAUCUUACGAGAAAGGGACGGCUAACUACGUG